RNAcentral lists this ribosomal RNA (247 nucleotides) under uncultured bacterium. RNAcentral's name for it is "partial 16S ribosomal RNA". It matches the Rfam family "Bacterial small subunit ribosomal RNA", at positions 523 to 769 of the family's 1533-position model. The record is from RNAcentral.
AUACGGAGGAUCCGAGCGUUAUCCGGAUUUAUUGGGUUUAAAGGGUGCGCAGGCGGGAUGUUAAGUCGGCGGUGAAAUUCUGCAGCUCAACUGUAAAAGUGCCUUCGAUACUGGCUUCCUUGAGUGUGGAUGAAGUAGGCGGAAUUUGUGGUGUAGCGGUGAAAUGCUUAGAUAUCACGAGGAACUCCGAUUGCGCAGGCAGCUUACUAAACCACUACUGACACUGAAGCACGAAAGCGGGGGGAUC